UACGUAGGGUGCGAGCGUUAAUCGGAAUUACUGGGCGUAAAGUGUGCGCAGGCGGCAGAGCAAGGCGAGUGUGAAAGCCCCGGGCUUAACUUGGGAAUUGCGCUCGAAACUACUUUGCUGGAGUGUGGCAGAGGAAGGUGGAAUUCCACGUGUAGCGGUGAAAUGCGUAGAGAUGUGGAGGAACACCAAUGGCGAAGGCAGCCUUCUGGGCCAACACUGAAGCUCAUGCACGAAAGCGUGGGGAGCAAACAGG
Molecule: ribosomal RNA, 253 nt
Filed under: uncultured bacterium
Lineage: Bacteria
Description: partial 16S ribosomal RNA
Rfam family: Bacterial small subunit ribosomal RNA
Source: RNAcentral